UCUGUGAAGCAGUUCUCAUGCAAUUAAACCCAUGGCUUUUAAAGCACUGACAUCUAAGUGCAAGCAACACUGAACAGAAAGUAGCUCUUGGUCUAAGGUUAACAGUACACCUUUCUAGAGAAGAAAGUUUCUGAAAAGAUCUUUGACACCAACCUUCUGAAAGAUCCUUCAGGCUUCCAGACACCACUUUCAUUCUUCACUUGCAUGGUCACUCGCAUUCAGAACAGAAGCCUGGUAGACUUGAGCAAAAGCUCCUUCUCCAACCAAGCUGUCCACACAGACUGAGAGGGAACCUUUACAAGACAGAAAAGAUUAACAAGAAGUCCCACUUGCAAACUUCAACAAAAAGAUGUAAUUACUCAGCCAAAAGAAAAGACACCGGUCAUAUACAAAAGAGCCGCAAGACAUUGAGCUUACUGCAGCGACCAGUUUCACAGUGGAACAAAGUGCUGCUCCAACAACAUGACACUGCUCUAGUCUCAGACUUCACAGAGGAAAACCAUGGCCAAGGCUCCGUACCUGAAGC
Gallus gallus (chicken) is the source of this 526-nucleotide long non-coding RNA. RefSeq lists it as uncharacterized. Lineage: Eukaryota; Metazoa; Chordata; Aves; Galliformes; Phasianidae. The transcript has 3 exons. The record is from RefSeq and is a predicted model, not a curated record.